Molecule: non-coding RNA, 645 nt
Organism: Corylus avellana
Lineage: Eukaryota; Viridiplantae; Streptophyta; Magnoliopsida; Fagales; Betulaceae
Source: RefSeq, a predicted model, not a curated record
UAAACCAGCCACCUUUUCAAUUUUUUCUAUUGGUAGCCCAUAAUGCUUGUUAAUUUUGUUUUGGGUUAACUGUUGAGUAGGGUGGCUUCAGAGGGCUGUUAGUAGAUGCUCCAGCAUCUGCUUCUUGAUUUGCCACUUAAUUAUGGAUCAAAUCUUCUUGGUUUGGAGACAGUCAUGCCAUUUUUCGGAUCUUUUGGUGCAAUUGACAAAUGGGAUUCCAUAUGUGAAUGCGUGGGACAUAUUCAGCAUUUGACCAUGAGCCAGUUUGUGCAGGGCUGUCAACUAUUUGGGAAAGAGACCCUAGCUUGGGUUCUAAUAAUGUGGGGGACGAGAAUAAUUCUGCAAAUCAUAUGAGAAGUAUGCAGAGGUACAAAAGAGUUCACUAAGGGCUUUCAGAACUGCAUAUUGCAGUGGAAGGAAUAAGCUCAUGUGUUACAAAGCUAUCCAAAUCAAAGUAGUGCUCCAUUUCCAUAUGGUUUGUAAAAAUAGUCACUCCUAAGAGAGGUUUGUUAUGGUGCCCAAGUUGAAGUCAUUCAUGAAGGCACACCUGAAAGAUGCUGCAGAAAAGUCUAAUGCUGCAACAGAAGCUUUGUUAACAGAGCUUGCUCUUGAUGCCAAGGAAAGGGAUCACGGAAAUGCUAAGGU